UGUAAGCUUCUUCAUUUAGAGACAUGAAAUUACAUGUAGAAUAGGUAAGCUUCUUUACUUCAUGGUUGGAUAACAGGGCCUUCUAAUCUGUUAACUGAUUCCCUUAGAAUACUAGGAAGCUUCAGAGAUAGGAGUGAAGAAUAUCUGAAGAAAGGGAGAUUGUUAUAGUUAUUUGGGUUUUUUUAUAAUGGGCAACCAUUUGGAAAAUUUUGUGUGUAGUCUGAAAUCCAAGUUGAAGGGUAUGCAAAAGAAAAAGCCUUACAGGAAGAUAGAUAAGAGUGAUAGCAUGAGAAUGGAAGUGAAAAGCCAACGUGCACAGAAACUAAUUGCUCAGACUCUUAAGUUUGCUGAUGAGCCUGGUAAAAAAGCUGUUGUAUUUUAAGUAAUAAUCUAAGGAUGUUCUUGGAACUUUCAUCUUUCCUUCCAGUUAUCCAAAUCUGUUUUUCUCUUUUCAGUAGAUCUUAACAGCAAAAGCUAUGGAUGUCUUGUAACUAAAUCUCAAUUAUAAGCAAAAGAAAACACAGGAAAAACCUAUGGUGUCACAACUUUGUAUUGAUUGUUUGUUAAUAG
Cryptomeria japonica (Japanese cedar) is the source of this 570-nucleotide long non-coding RNA. RefSeq lists it as uncharacterized. NCBI's taxonomy places the organism in Eukaryota, Viridiplantae, Streptophyta, Pinopsida, Cupressales, Cupressaceae. The transcript is spliced from 2 exons. The record is from RefSeq and is a predicted model, not a curated record.